This 266-nucleotide long non-coding RNA is filed under the name Elaeis guineensis (African oil palm). RNAcentral describes it as "long non-coding RNA (EGUI_LNC039960)". The record is from RNAcentral. Lineage: Eukaryota; Viridiplantae; Streptophyta; Magnoliopsida; Arecales; Arecaceae.
AGUUGAGUUUUUUUAAUGUUGAUGCUUUAGGCCUAUGGCUAAUUCAAAGCUGUAUAGAAUUAGCUUUAGGGCUUAGUGUUUGAUUUAUCAACUUUGCAAAAAAUCAGAGUAUCGUCAGUGAAUUGUAAGCAUUGCAUUUGCCCUUCUAAACCAUAUGGACCAAUUAAUUACCAAAAAAAACCCACGUGGACCAAUUCCAUGGAUCAGAUUUUUGGAGUUGGUAAUCUUCAAAAUUUUUACAAGGUCAUCUGUUACUAGGAUGAACA